Pungitius pungitius (ninespine stickleback) is the source of this 1005-nucleotide long non-coding RNA. RefSeq lists it as uncharacterized. The transcript is spliced from 4 exons. The record is from RefSeq and is a predicted model, not a curated record. NCBI's taxonomy places the organism in Eukaryota, Metazoa, Chordata, Actinopteri, Perciformes, Gasterosteidae.
AAGCAACAGAAUUCCAAUGAUUGGAAAUCACAAACGUACGAGCAGAGAAACGAAAGACGAAAAGGCGAGAAUGGAAGGAUGAAAUAAACAAUAUCACCAAAAGUAAAUAUUCAAGGGAGCCCCGCUACACAACACCACUCAUGAAGAGCACAAUGACCAAGGAAGAAAUGAGGUACGUUUUAACAUAAACAUAUGUUAUGUUUUACUGAUUAUGCGACUUCCUCUAAUGUGACCAAGCUGCAUAAAAGCACAUCUGUUAUUAUGUCGAGAGGGUAAAUGGUGGGUUUUCAUAGUUUGGCCCCCAGGUGUCUCUGAUUCAUAGCUCCUCUUUCUAAAGGAAGGACGGGUUUCUCUUCAGUCCCAAGAGACGUCUCACUCCGUCCCCCCACAUGCUCUGAAUCCCACCACUUGAACCCGAGCAGCACUUCUCCUAAACCAUCAGAACAGAACACGGACGCACCGUGUUGAUAAAACCGGACCGACGCAGACAGGGAGGAGGUCAGCUAUGGGAAAUAUGCUGCCAGCCCACGCAGCAACUGUGCUGCAGGUUGGAAACAGUCUUUCCCGCCUCCCUAAUCGAACGUUCUCCUCUCUGACGGUGAGUGCGAGAAAGAUGGCGGCGAGGAGCUGAGGAGCCUGAGAGGAGUGAUGGAAGGUGAAAACGAACACCCGCAGGACGAGAUGGCAGCUGAUUCCCGGUAGGCUCCUCAAGGACGACACGCAAUCUGCGCCUACUCUAUCGCUGCUCUGGUUACGUCUUUACCAGGUGACGAGGACAGCAGGACAACUGCCCUUCAAUAUUUAUGGGUAACAGAAGGAACAUCUUUUUGACUGAACAUGUAUCCAUAGUCCAAACUCGACUAGACCAUUGAAGACAUGGUCGGGCUUCACCUGGCGGCGGGGUCGUCGUCGGCGAGUGUGUGUUGUGGUGAGUCGGAGGAGGAGACGGGACCCUCCUCUCCGUCCUGAGGCAGCUCUUCACAUUCGGUCUCGCACUUCUCGUCG